RNAcentral lists this ribosomal RNA (779 nucleotides) under uncultured bacterium. Its description in RNAcentral is "partial 16S ribosomal RNA". The record is from RNAcentral.
AUACUUGCUGACGUCUGGCAUUCAUCGUUUACGGUGUGGACUACCAGGGUAUCUAAUCCUGUUUGCUCCCCACACUUUCGCACCUCAGCGUCAGUAUCGAGCCAGUAAGCCGCCUUCGCCACUGGUGUUCCUCCGAAUAUCUACGAAUUUCACCUCUACACUCGGAAUUCCACUUACCUCUCUCGAACUCAAGACUAGCAGUAUUAAAGGCAGUUCCAGGGUUGAGCCCUGGGAUUUCACCUCUAACUUACUAAUCCGCCUACGUGCGCUUUACGCCCAGUAAUUCCGAACAACGCUAACCCCCUCCGUAUUACCGCGGCUGCUGGCACGGAGUUAGCCGGGGUUUCUUUACCAGAUACUGUCAUUAUCAUCUCUGGCGAAAGUGCUUUACGACCCUAAGGCCUUCAUCACACACGCGGCAUGGCUAGAUCAGGGUUUCCCCCAUUGUCUAAGAUUCCCUACUGCUGCCUCCCGUAGGAGUCUGGGCCGUGUCUCAGUCCCAGUGUGGCUGAUCAUCCUCUCAAACCAGCUAUAGAUCGUAGGCUUGGUAGGCCAUUACCCCACCAACUACCUAAUCUAACGCGGGCUAAUCCUUCUCCGAUAAAUCUUUCCCCCGAAGGGCGUAUAAGGUAUUACUCUCAGUUUCCCGAGGCUAUUCCUUAGAGAAGGGCAUAUUCCCACGCGUUACUCACCCGUCCGCCGCUCAUCCCGAAGGAUGCGCUCGACUUGCAUGUAUUAGGCCUGCCGCCAGCGUUCGUUCUGAGCCAGGAUCAAACUCU